RNAcentral lists this ribosomal RNA (134 nucleotides) under Schistosoma mekongi. RNAcentral describes it as "partial 5.8S ribosomal RNA". It matches the Rfam family "5.8S ribosomal RNA", at positions 1 to 122 of the family's 154-position model. Rfam says of the family: 5.8S ribosomal RNA (5.8S rRNA) is a component of the large subunit of the eukaryotic ribosome. The record is from RNAcentral. Lineage: Eukaryota; Metazoa; Platyhelminthes; Trematoda; Strigeidida; Schistosomatidae.
GUUAUUGGUGUACAACUUUGAGCGGUGGAUCACUCGGCUCGUGUGUCGAUGAAGAGUGCAGCCAACUGUGUGAAUUAAUGUGAACUGCAUACUGCUUUGAACAUCGACACUUCGAACGCAUCUAGAAAUCGGAU